Molecule: transfer RNA, 41 nt
Filed under: Cnemaspis niyomwanae
Lineage: Eukaryota; Metazoa; Chordata; Lepidosauria; Squamata; Gekkonidae
Description: partial tRNA-Cys
Source: RNAcentral
AAGGUGCCGGGGCUUCUCCCGUUUUUCCUUGGCGGGAGAAG